Molecule: long non-coding RNA, 227 nt
Filed under: Elaeis guineensis (African oil palm)
Lineage: Eukaryota; Viridiplantae; Streptophyta; Magnoliopsida; Arecales; Arecaceae
Description: long non-coding RNA (EGUI_LNC008151)
Source: RNAcentral
ACCCAAGCCUAAUUAAAAUUAAAUAGACGUUGGCCCCUAGGAUCAAUUGAGUUCAGUUUGAGUAUUGUGGUGAAGUCAAGUACAAAGUAAGUUUGAACUUACCCCUGAAACUGGUGUCUAAGGCAAGAGAUUACAAAGGAUAAGCCUAAGCAAACUCGUGGUUAUUUAAUUGAUUUCGUUAGCUUACCUGACCAAUCUAAUUGGUGUCUAAUGCAAGCAAUGGGGAG